RNAcentral lists this ribosomal RNA (253 nucleotides) under uncultured archaeon. RNAcentral's name for it is "partial 16S ribosomal RNA". It matches the Rfam family "Archaeal small subunit ribosomal RNA", at positions 474 to 727 of the family's 1478-position model. The record is from RNAcentral.
AACCAGCACCUCAAGUGGUCAGGAUGAUUAUUGGGCCUAAAGCAUCCGUAGCCGGCUCUGUAAGUUUUCGGUUAAAUCUGUACGCUCAACGUACGGGCUGCCGGGAAUACUGCAGAGCUAGGGAGUGGGAGAGGUAGACGGUACUCGGUAGGAAGGGGUAAAAUCCUUUGAUCUAUUGAUGACCACCUGUGGCGAAGGCGGUCUACCAGAACACGUCCGACGGUGAGGGAUGAAAGCUGGGGGAGCAAACCGG